Molecule: signal recognition particle RNA, 297 nt
Filed under: Saimiri boliviensis boliviensis (Bolivian squirrel monkey)
Lineage: Eukaryota; Metazoa; Chordata; Mammalia; Primates; Cebidae
Description: Metazoan signal recognition particle RNA (ENSSBOG00000009520.1)
Rfam family: Metazoan signal recognition particle RNA
About the family: The signal recognition particle (SRP) is a universally conserved ribonucleoprotein. It is involved in the co-translational targeting of proteins to membranes.
Source: RNAcentral
GCCAUGCGCGGUGGCGCCUGCCUGUAGUCCCAGAUACUCAGGAGGCUGAGGUGGGAGGAUCCCUUGAGCCCACGAGUUGUGGGCUGUAGUGCGCUAUGCCGAUUGGGUGUCUGCACUAAGUUCGGCAUCGAUAUGGUGACCUCCAGGAGCAGGGGACCACCGGGUUGCUGAAGGAGGGUUGAAACAGCCCAGGUCGGAAAUGGAGCAGGUCAAAACUCCCGCGCUGAUCAGUGGUGGGAUUGUGCCUGUGAAUAGCCACUGCACUCAGCCUGGACAACAUAGCGAGACCCCAUCUCA